This 2056-nucleotide long non-coding RNA is filed under the name Marmota monax (woodchuck). The record is from RNAcentral. Lineage: Eukaryota; Metazoa; Chordata; Mammalia; Rodentia; Sciuridae.
UCUCUACCUUAGGUAGUAUUCUCAGCUUGGUGAUGCACAGCCCGUGGGGAUUGGGAGAGACUGAGAACAAAAAAAAAAUACAUCCCAUCUGACAAGAUGUGAGACUCGAGAAGUAAACAGAGGUCUUACGAAUGAAGAACUUUGCAUGUUCUUGGAAGGAACUUGAACUACAUGAAGAUUUUUCCCCAGAGGUGGGGAAAAGAGGUAACCCCACUUCAUAUCAUCAGCACUAUUUUUGUGGGCCUUUGUUCUGAAGGGACUAUUUUAUAGCCUUCAGGUAUUGGGUGUUUGGUAUGAGAGAUAAAAAGUUAUAAGCAGGGAACUUACAUGAUGUUUAGUUUUUGAAAAAUCUUGCUAUUGGUAGUGGUGGAGAAGGCUGAGGACAUGACAAAUGGGGACAAAAAGACAAGUUUGGGAGCAGUUGGAGAGCCUGAAGAAAAGUGAGGUGUUGUGGAUGACAGAGCAAAUGCCAAGAUUCAAGAGGUAUCUAGAAGGCAAAAUCAAUAGAGUUUAGUGAUGAUAAGAGGUAGAAGGUAGAGUUCCUAUGUUCUGCGUUAAUGUAGAUCCUUGUAUUUCCAACACUGAAUUCACAUCUCACUGGGUUAACAUUUCUUAUUAAAGUCUUCUGUGCCACUCCAUGAAGGCUGAAACACACAGUGCCUGAUAGACACAGGUGAUUGGCUGAAUGGACCAACAAAUGAAUGACAUAAAGAAUGACUCACAUUCAUGGCCUGAAAGACUGUUGGUUAGGGUAGCUACCAUCUAAGAGAGGAAGCAAAGGAGGAAAAGAAGUUUUGAGUCCUAAACUGCAGUUUUGUUUUCAUCACAUUGGGUUUGAGGUGUCUCUAGGAUCUUGAGGGAAGAUAUUUAGCUGCAACUCAAGCCCAGGGGAGGAUUUUAGUCUGGUAAGACAGAUUAGGCCGCUGUCAGUGAAUAGGUGGACAUUCAUAGCACAGGUGUGGGUAGGACAAAUAUAGAGAAUGAAGAAAAGGAGAUGAAAGACACACAAGUUAUUUCUAACAGAAAGCUAGUAGCUUUGGGUUUUCUUACUGCUUUUAUUGUUUAUUGAAAUCUAUGUACAAUACCAUGAAAUUCACUAAGUGAUUUUUAGUAACUUCACAAGGUUGUACCGUCCUUAUCAUUGGUUGUCUAACUCCAGAACAUUUCCAUCAUCCUCAAAAGAAAUCUCAUGCCCCAUUUACAGUCACACUCCAUUCCCUCUUUCCACUGCCCCUUGACAACCACAAAUUAUCUUUCUGAGUCUAUGGAUUUGCCUCUUCUAGAUACUUCUUAUAGAUGGAAUAAUACUACAUACAAUGUGACUUUUGUGUCUUACUUUUUCCACCCAGCAUGAUGUUUCAAGAUCCACCUAUAUUAUAGGAUGUCUCAGUACUGUAUUCAGAAGGCUGGUGUUCAAAAAGUUUUUGUUUUGUUUUCAAGAUGAGGUCUACAGGUACUUCCAAGGCUGGUCUCAAAUUCCUGGGCUUGAGUGAUCCUCCACCUCCGCCUCAGGAGUACUUGGGACUAAAGGCAUGCAUCUCCACACCUUGCUGGUGUUUAAUCUUUAGCAAAGUUUUUUGCAUUCUCAUCCUAGACUUAGGAGACUCUCCCAGACCUUUGAGUAUGUCUCAAAUUCCUGGGCUUGAGUGAUCCUCCACCUCCGCCUCAGGAGUACUUGGGACUAAAGGCAUGCAUCUCCACACCUUGCUGGUGUUUAAUCUUUAGCAAAGUUUUUUGCAUUCUCAUCCUAGACUUAGGAGACUCUCCCAGGCCUUUGAGUAUGUCUCUCAGAGUCCAAAAGAUGGGUGCCUUCAUCAACUCAUAGAAUUUGGAAAACCUUUAUGUCAAAAAAAGCUAUAGAAAAUAUCUUCAGCUAUUUCCUGGAGGUGCCCUUGAACAGUCUAAACCUCCAGGAAUCUCUUUGCUCUGACUCCUAGGGCACUCACUCUGUGAUCUACAUGAUUACAUUCCAGGUUCUGUAAAAUCUCCAUCUUACUCCUCUGUCAUUGAAAAUUCCUGGUAAGGUAAGGGGAAUCUAUCUCAUGUUGUAUUUUUC